UAAUACGAAAAGGAAAACAUUUUCUCCCAAAUCUCUCCGUAACCUAGUUUCGUAUUUUCUCUCUUCUUGACUUUCGAGAACUCUAUCAAUCGACGCUUCCACAAUUUGCUGAAACAGCAAAUCCCUUCGAUUUUUUUUUCCAGAUUAAGUUUCCUUUUCUCUCGUUCGCCUGAAGCGGAUCUAGCUGGUUAGGGCUUCUCGCUCUCGCCGUCGAGUUCUAUAACAGAAACAGAGAAUAAAAGGCUUCAUUCAAGAAGAAGAGACUUUGAACAAGAUUCAAGUGAUGAAGCGUGAUUAUGAUGAGACGAAAAUGAAAGAGUUAGAGUAGAUCAGCGUGACAACAUAUAACAUCACCUCAAACGCAAUGAUGACAAUGUUGGCCUUGACUCCGCGCUUCACACCGUCUCUCUAAGGUAAAUUCUCUGCAUGUCCUUAGACUUUCUCGUUUUGUUUUGAAGCGCUUUUAUCCCGGUUUUUUUUUUUGAGAUUUUUGAAAUCAGGAUUCCGUUUUGAACUGUUUUUUAUUUGACUCCGAUUUUCCUCUUUUUUAACAGGACUUUUAAAGCUUUUUGUUUUCUUGUGGUUUUAUCAAACCCAAGAGAUUAGGCAGACGUUCUUGUAAUGUUCCACCAAAUCUUGUUUGGGCAUUGUUUUGGUUUUGUUUUGUUUUUGUUUUUGUUUUUCAAACCCCAAAAAAGAUCAUAGACAGACACUAAUCUAAUAGUGUUCUGUCAGAUUCUUGUUUGGGAACAUUGUUUUGGUUUUGUUUUGUUUUUGUUUUUCAAACCCCAAAAAAGAUCAUAGACAGACACUAAUCUUAUAGUGUUCUGUCAGAUUCUUGUUUGGGAACAUUGUUUUGGUUUUGUUUUGUUUUUGUUUUUCAAACCCCAAAAAAGAUCAUAGACAGACACUAAUCUUAUGGUGUUCUGUCAGAUUCUUAUUUGGGAACAUUGUCCCUUGCUGCCUCUAAAAGAAACUUAUGCCAUCCCCUAUAGCAAGAUUGUUAAAUGGACCGAGAAUAUGGGUUGGUGGUGCAUGGAUAAAGAAGGGCGUUAGGGGAUGGCAAAUAAGAGCAUGCGGCUCAGUCUUAAGACAAAAGACUAUAACUGAAAACAGAUUCCGUACCCACGGCUUACAAAGAUUUAUUACCCACGGCUUACACAUGUCUUGACAAAGACAAAGAUUUAUUACCCACGGCUUACAAGUCUUAAAGACCAAAGACUUUUCUGUUUUCAGUUAUUUGAAUGGUACAGUUUGAGAAAGUCCUAAGACAAGGACUAUAACUGAAAACAUUGUCCCUUGCUGCCUCUAAAAGAAACUUAUGCCAUCCCCUAUAGCAAGAUUGUUAUUAAAUGGACCGAGAAUAUGGGUUGGUGGUGCAUGUAUAAAGAAGGGCGUUAGGGGAUGGCAAAUAAGAGCAUGCGGCUCAGUCUUAAGACAAAAGACUAUAACUGAAAACAGAUUCCGUACCCACGGCUUACAAAGAUUUAUUACCCACGGCUUACACAUGUCUUGACAAAGACAAAGAUUUAUUACCCACGGCUUACAAGUCUUAAAGACCAAAGACUUUUCUGUUUUCAGUUAUUUGAAUGGUACAGUUUGAGAAAGUCCUAAGACAAGGACUAUAACUGAAAACAUUGUCCCUUGCUGCCUCUAAAAGAAACUUAUGCCAUCCCCUAUAGCAAGAUUGUUAUUAAAUGGACCGAGAAUAUGGGUUGGUGGUGCAUGUAUAAAGAAGGGCGUUAGGGGAUGGCAAAUAAGAGCAUGCGGCUCAGUCUUAAGACAAAAGACUAUAACUGAAAACAGAUUCCGUACCCACGGCUUACAAAGAUUUAUUACCCACGGCUUACACAUGUCUUGACAAAGACAAAGAUUUAUUACCCACGGCUUACAAGUCUUAAAGACCAAAGACUUUUCUGUUUUCAGUUAUUUGAAUGGUACAGUUUGAGAAAGUCCUAAGACAAGGACUAUAACUGAAAACAUUGUCCCUUGCUGCCUCUAAAAGAAACUUAUGCCAUCCCCUAUAGCAAGAUUGUUAUUAAAUGGACCGAGAAUAUGGGUUGGUGGUGCAUGUAUAAAGAAGGGCGUUAGGGGAUGGCAAAUAAGAGCAUGCGGCUCAGUCUUAAGACAAAAGACUAUAACUGAAAACAGAUUCCGUACCCACGGCUUACAAAGAUUUAUUACCCACGGCUUACACAUGUCUUGACAAAGACAAAGAUUUAUUACCCACGGCUUACAAGUCUUAAAGACCAAAGACUUUUCUGUUUUCAGUUAUUUGAAUGGUACAGUUUGAGAAAGUCCUAAGACAAGGACUAUAACUGAAAACAUUGUCCCUUGCUGCCUCUAAAAGAAACUUAUGCCAUCCCCUAUAGCAAGAUUGUUAUUAAAUGGACCGAGAAUAUGGGUUGGUGGUGCAUGUAUAAAGAAGGGCGUUAGGGGAUGGCAAAUAAGAGCAUGCGGCUCAGUCUUAAGACAAAAGACUAUAACUGAAAACAGAUUCCGUACCCACGGCUUACAAAGAUUUAUUACCCACGGCUUACACAUGUCUUGACAAAGACAAAGAUUUAUUACCCACGGCUUACAAGUCUUAAAGACCAAAGACUUUUCUGUUUUCAGUUAUUUGAAUGGUACAGUUUGAGAAAGUCCUAAGACAAGGACUAUAACUGAAAACAUUGUCCCUUGCUGCCUCUAAAAGAAACUUAUGCCAUCCCCUAUAGCAAGAUUGUUAUUAAAUGGACCGAGAAUAUGGGUUGGUGGUGCAUGUAUAAAGAAGGGCGUUAGGGGAUGGCAAAUAAGAGCAUGCCGCUCAGUCUUUGACAAAGACUAUAAAUGAAAACAGAUUCCUUACCCACGGCUUACACAUGUCUUGACAAAGACAAAGAUUUAUUACCCACGGCUUACAAGUCUUAAAGACUUUUCUGUUUUCAGUUAUUUGAAUGGUACAGUUUGAGAAAGUCUUAAGACAAGGACUAUAACUGAAAACAGAUUCUUUACCCACGGCUUACAAAGAUUUAGUACCCACGGCUUGAGAGAAUUUGUUUUCAGUUAUUUGAAUGGUUAUGGUUUGAGAAAGUCUUAAGACAAGGACUAUAACUGAAAACAGAUUCAUUACCCACGGCUUACUAAUGUCUGGACAAAGACAAAGAAAAUGUAGGAGGUUUAAGACUUGUUGGAUUGGAAAUAACGACCAACAACCCAGAAAAAAGCCAUUAGUGGAUGGAAAAUAAGACCAACGGCUUAAGAAGAUCUCAAGACAGAGACUACUAAGAUUUAUUACCCACGGCUUACACAUGUCUUGACAAAGACAAAGAUUUAUUACCCACGGCUUACAAGUCUUAAAGACCAAAGACUUUUCUGUUUUCAGUUAUUUGAAUGGUACAGUUUGAGAAAGUCCUAAGACAAGGACUAUAACUGAAAACAUUGUCCCUUGCUGCCUCUAAAAGAAACUUAUGCCAUCCCCUAUAGCAAGAUUGUUAUUAAAUGGACCGAGAAUAUGGGUUGGUGGUGCAUGUAUAAAGAAGGGCGUUAGGGGAUGGCAAAUAAGAGCAUGCCGCUCAGUCUUUGACAAAGACUAUAAAUGAAAACAGAUUCCUUACCCACGGCUUACACAUGUCUUGACAAAGACAAAGAUUUAUUACCCACGGCUUACAAGUCUUAAAGACUUUUCUGUUUUCAGUUAUUUGAAUGGUACAGUUUGAGAAAGUCUUAAGACAAGGACUAUAACUGAAAACAGAUUCUUUACCCACGGCUUACAAAGAUUUAGUACCCACGGCUUGAGAGAAUUUGUUUUCAGUUAUUUGAAUGGUUAUGGUUUGAGAAAGUCUUAAGACAAGGACUAUAACUGAAAACAGAUUCAUUACCCACGGCUUACUAAUGUCUGGACAAAGACAAAGAAAAUGUAGGAGGUUUAAGACUUGUUGGAUUGGAAAUAACGACCAACAACCCAGAAAAAAGCCAUUAGUGGAUGGAAAAUAAGACCAACGGCUUAAGAAGAUCUCAAGACAGAGACUACUAAUUGAAAGCAGAUUCCUGAUUUCACUACUCAUGGCUUACAAAAGACAGAUCGGUAAAAAGACAUGUUGGAUGGGAAAAUAAUAUGAAAGACAAUGUCAAUGGGGCAGUUCUAAGCCUUACUGGAUGGAAAUUAACGACCAGCUGCUUAGAAAAAUUUGUUUGGGGAUGGCAAAUAAAACCAAACGGCUUAUAAGUCUCAAGGCAAAAAAAAAAAGACUGUGAUUUACUACCCACGGCUUUGUCCAAAUCUGUUUUCAGUUAUUCCAAUGGAAUGGAGUUAAUGACCACAGUUUGAGAAUGUCUUAAAGACAGAGACUAAGAACUGAAAACAGAUUCCUUACUUUACCACCCACGGCUUAUAAGUCUUAAAGACAAAAGACUUUUAUGAGAAUCUGUUUUCAGUUAUUUGAAUGGUACUGUUUGAGAAAGUCUUAAGACAAGGACUAUAACUGAAAACAGAUUCCUUACCCACGGCUUACAAAGAUUUAGUACCCACGGCUUGAGAGAAUCUGUUUUCAGUUAUUUGAAUGGUUAUGGUUUGAGAAAGUCUUAAGACAAAGAUUAUAACUGAAAAUAGAUUCCUUACCCGCGGCUUACAAAUGUCUUGACAAAGACAAAGAAAAUAGAUUCCUUACCCACGGCUUGAGAGAAUCUGUUUUCAGUUAUUUGAAUGGUUAUGGUUUGAGAAAGUCUUAAGACAAAGAUUAUAACUGAAAAUAGAUUCCUUACCCGCGGCUUACAAAUGUCUUGACAAAGACAAAGAAAAUGCAAGAGGUUAAGACUUGUUGGAUUGGAAAUAAGACCACACGGCUUACAAGUCUUAAAGACAAAAGACUUUUAUGAGAUUCUGUUUUCAGUUAUUUGAAUGGUACUGUUUGAGAAAGUCUUAAGACAAGGACUAUAACUGAAAACAGAUUCCUUACCCACGGCUUACAAAGAUUUAUUACCCACGGCUUACAGUUGUCUUGAUAAAGAAAAAGAAAAUGUGGGGUUUUGGAAAUAAGACCACAUGGCUUACAAGUCUUAAAGACAAAAGACUUUUAUGAGAUUCUGUUUUCAGUUAUUUGAAUGGUACUGUUUGAGAAAGUCUUAAGACAAAGACUAUAACUGAAAACAGAUUCCUUACCCACGGCUUACAGUUGUCUUGAUAAAGAAAGAGACAACGUGGGGUUUCUAAGGCUUGUUGGAGUGGAAAUAACGACCAACAGCCCAGAAAAAAAAAAGUCAUUAGUGGAUGAAAAAUAAGACCACACGGCUUACAAGUUUUAAAGACAAAAGACUUUUACGAGAAUCUGUUUUCUGUUACUUGAAUGGUACAGUUUGAAGAAGUCUUAAGACAAGGACUAUAACUGAAAACAGAUUUCUUACCCACGACUUACAAAGAUUUAGUACCCACGGCUUACAAAGAUUUAGUACCCACGGCUUGAGAUAAUCUGUUUUCAGUUAUUUGAAUGGUUACGGUUUGAGAAAGUCUAAAGACAGACUAUAACUGAAAACAGAUUCCUUAACUACGGCUUACAAAGGUCUUGACAAAGACAAAGAAAAUUUAGGAGGUUUAAGACUUGUUGGAUUGGAAAUAACGACCAACAGCCUAGAAAAUGUCAUUAAUGGAUGGAAAAUAAGACCACACGGUUUAGAAGUCUUGAGACAAAAGACUUUUAGUACCCACGGCUUUCAAAAUUCUGUUUUUGAUCUAUGGAUGGAUGGAGUAACGACCUACGGUUUAAGAAAGUCUUAAGACAAAGGCUACAAAUUGAAAGCAGAUUCCUUACUUCACUACUCAUGGCUUACAAGAAAAGAAUUGUUGGAUGGAAAUAUAUUGCAAUAGGGCAGGCAGUUAUUAGACUUGUGUCCAUCCGUAGAAGAAACAAGGUGGGCAUACUACGUAACUAAAGACUAAUUAUUUUUAUUUCCUCAGGUAUGUACUUCAGAAGGCGUUCAUAUUGUUUGGGAGAUUCUGAAGAGAUUUGAAGUGUAGAAGACUUCUGUGACAGUUAAAUUUGGAUGUCUGAGCACUUGCGACAUUCCGCAACGACAUAUUACAAUACGUUCUGAAGUUUGCAUCUUCCUUGCAGUUUUGUAGUUAAAUCUAUUGACCGUUUUGAAAAUUGUUUUGGUAUCGUACUAAAAUAUGUCUUUGGUCUAUUAGCCAUACAUAGUUGAUGGGCCGUGGAAAUCUAUUGAAUCAUGGUGUAUUCAUUUAAAAUGUGCAAUAGAUGUUUUCGCGGUUUUUCUUUGAUACUUUUGUUUUAAUAAUAUUUUUAUGAUUGAUGUAAAAAAAAACAGGAAAUGAAUAUUAUUUGAACUCUUAUUUUGCUCUCCUUUGUAUAUGUGCUUUAAUUUUCACUGUUAUUUAUUUAGGCUAAAUGUUAAAUUUCUAUUAUUUUUGGUACUUCAGUACAUAUUCUGAAUUAUUGUUUAAAGGUAAAUUCAGCUAUAUCCUUUAAUAUAUAUAUAUAUAUAUAUUAUUGUAUUUGUAUUGUCUGUUUCUUAAUCCAUAUGUAACAUUUCAGGAAGAUGGUAUUUAUUAUUAUUUGACUAUUUGUUAGUUUAAUACGGACAAUUUGAUUUUAGAUAAUAUUUUCUUGAUAGUAAUUUUUAUGUAUUUUGUAACUUUUUUAAAUGGCAGAAUUAGAAUAUGUCACUUAAAUGUGCAAUAGAUGUUUCUCGAUUUUCCUAUGAUACUUUGUUUUAAUAAUAUUUUUAUGAUUGAUGUCAAAAAUCAGGAAAAUAAUAUUAUUUGAACUCUAAUGUUGCUCUCCUUUGUAUAUGUGCUUUAGUUUUCUAUGUUAUGUAUUUUUGUAACUUUUUUAAAUGGUAGAAUUAGAAUAUGUCAUUUAAAUGUGCAAUAGAUGUUUCUCGGUUUUCCUAUGAUACUUUGUUUUAAUAAUAUUUUUAUGAUUGAUGUCAAAAAUCAGGAAAUUAAUAUUAUGUGAACUCUAAUGUUACUCUCCUUUGUAUACGUGCUUUAAUUUUCUCUGUUAUUUAUUUAGACUAAAUGUUAUAUUUUUAUUAUUUUAUUUUCUGUUCUAGGAACUGUAUUUUUAGUACUUCGGUACAUAUUCUGAAUUCUUGUUAAAAGGUAAAUUCAGCUCUAUCCUUUAAUAUAUAUAUAUUGAAUUUGUAUUGUCUGUUUUUUAUUCCAUAUGUAACUUUUCAGGAAGAUGGUAUUUAUUAGAUUUGACUAUUUGUUAGUCUAAUACGAACAAUUUGAUUUUAGAUUAUAUUCUCUUAAUGUUUUAUGUAUUUUUGUAACUUUUUUUUUAAUGGAGAAUUGAUCUACACCGGUUUGGCUUGCUAGAUCGGCUGGAGAUUCUAGUUAGUAUUUGAAUGUUGUUGUCAAAAAAAAAAUAAUAAUGGAGAAUUAGAAUAUGUUACUUAUUAGACAUGGAUCUUGCAUUUUAGCUCACUAGUCCUUCGCUGUUAUGUCUAAAUGUGAUCUUAAUUUUCUAAUAUGGUCCAAUUAUAUACCAUCUUAACAUUUUUGAAAAAAUAGGAACAGACGAACAGUUAGUAAAUUAUCAAUUAUUUUCUUAAAAUAUAAUUUGAUGCAAAACUAUAAUACAUGUUUUCAAAUAUAUUUCGUAAGUAGUUUUGUAAUUGUUAAUGUCAUAUAAUGUUAUGUUUGGGCUCAACCCAGCUAAUAAAUGUUUCAAACGAGAAGUCAGUUUAGCUCACUAGUCCUUUGUUAUGUCUGAAUGUGAUCUUAAUUUUCUAAAAUGGUCCAAUUAUAUAUACCAUCUUAACUUUUUCGAAAAAUAGGAACAGACGAACAGUCAGUAAAUUAUCAAUUAUUUUCUUGAAAUAUAUUUUGAUGCAAAACUAUAAUACAAGUUUUCCAAAUAUAUUUUGUAAGUAGUUUUAACUAUUUGUAAUUGUUGAUGUCAUAUAAUGUUAUGUUUGGGUUCAACCCAACUAAUAAAUGUUUCAAACGAAACGAGACGUUAGUUGUUUCCAUUCUAAAUAAUAUAAUGACUUGAUUAUGUAGAUUAUCAAUAGAGGAAAUUCCUUAAAAACACGCGGACCAAUUUUCAUUUGCUAAUAAAAUACACUAACUAUUUUGGAUCCUUGUUUAAUACACGAACUAAUUUUUGUUGCCUAUUAAAUACACAAAUUUUUGAAAUUCGCAGGUUAACGACAAUGACGACGGCGUUAGUGUUUAAUUAACACGUGUUUAAAUUUUGAAAAUAUUUUUUUUUAAAUACACAAACUAUUUUUCAUUUGCUAAUAAAAUACACAAACUAUUUUUGGAUCCUCGUUUAAUACACAAACUAAUUUUUAUUUUCUAUUAAAUACACAAACUUUUAAAAUUUGUAGAUUUUACGCAUCAAUUUAGACGAUGUCAACUAUGUUUAACAGAAAUGAAGUCAAUGUUUUAAUUAAACAAGUGGUUUAAGUGUGAAAAAUGCUCACCCUCAGCCAAUUGAAAUUAAUUUGAGUUAGUUUCAAUUUGAGUUUGGCACUCUAAAAUGUUCCAACCUCUUUUAUUCUCCAAACUAUGUUUCUUUUCUUCUUAUUUACUUUGAUUUCCCUUUAUAUCGAUUCGAAGUGGAGUCGAUUUCCAUGUCGUGAAAAAGGAUGAAGAAAACUACGUAAUUUUAAACAAGUUUCUGAUUUUGGAAUUAGUUUAGUGUUAUGCAUUUCUAAUUCUUGUCUUCGCUUUGAUAGUAGUGAUAAUGAUUCAAGGUUAAUUUACAUUAUGAUAAAUAAUUUUAGUGUUAUGAAUUAAGUUCUACGUAUAUUCUUUCUACUAUGAUUAAAAAAUUUGAAAUUUCAUUAAAAAAAAUUUACACUAUGAAGCGUCACUGGAGAAGCAAGCUAACAAUAUAAUAUAUCGGAAGGCCUUUAAGGAACUUUUUCUUCACAGUUUAACCAUAUGUUCAAUUAAACAAUAACAUUGUUUUCACUUCUGCUAAACAUAGUUCACUUCUGCUAAAUUUGAAAAUUUUAAAACUUUGUGUAUUUAAUAGAAAAAAAAAUAGUUUGUGUAUUAAACGGGGAUCCAAAAUAGUUCGUGUAUUUUAUUAGCAAAUGAAAAGUAGUUUGUGUAUUUUUAAGAAAUUUUCUUUUUACAAUUUAAAAACAUAUUAAUUAAACACUAACGUCGUCGUCAUUUCCGUUAAAUAUAGUUAACGCGUCUAAAAUGAUGUGUAAAAUCUGUGAAUUUCAAAAGUUUGUGUAUUUAAUAGGUAACGAAAAUUAGUUAGUGUAUUUUAUUAGCAAAUGAAAAUUCGUCGGUGUACUUUUAAAAAAUUUUCCCUUAUCAAUAUUAUUAAUUUAUGAUCACUCUUAUUUUUUGUCUUUACCCCUAUCUGGUAUAUUACUUAAAAUGCCACUGGACCUACUCUUUUUUUUCAAAACUGAUUAUUUCAUAACUGUUUCUAAUUAUUUACUAACUCUAACCACAAUCCCUUAUUAUUUGUCUAACCAUUCAUUUUUGAGAACUCGAUCUUGUAAUCGAGAAAACCCGUCCUGAGAGGUACUUUUGUCACGAGCUGGCUUAACCCAUCUCCUUACCAUCAAGCCUGGAUAAGCAACAUCUGAAAAG
Brassica napus (rape) is the source of this 9562-nucleotide long non-coding RNA. RefSeq lists it as uncharacterized. The transcript is spliced from 5 exons. NCBI's taxonomy places the organism in Eukaryota, Viridiplantae, Streptophyta, Magnoliopsida, Brassicales, Brassicaceae. The record is from RefSeq and is a predicted model, not a curated record.